This 332-nucleotide unclassified non-coding RNA is filed under the name soil metagenome. RNAcentral describes it as "partial contains 5.8S ribosomal RNA, internal transcribed spacer 2, and large subunit ribosomal RNA". The stretch from base 1 to 120 matches the Rfam family "5.8S ribosomal RNA", at positions 35 to 154 of the family's 154-position model. The record is from RNAcentral.
GAUGAAGAACGCAGCGAAAUGCGAUAAGUAGUGUGAAUUGCAGAAUUCAGUGAAUCAUCGAAUCUUUGAACGAACAUUGCGCCCUUUGGUAUUCCUUAGGGCAUGCCUGUUCGAGCGUCAUUUAAACCUUCAAGCUCAGCUUGGUGUUGGGUGACUGUCCGCUUCACCGCGGACUCGCCUCAAAAUUAUUGGCGGCCGGUACAUUGGCUUCGAGCGCAGCAGAAACGCGAACUCGGGCCCGUCGUAUUGGCUCCCAGAAGCUAUCUUCACAAUUUUGACCUCGGAUCAGGUAGGGAUACCCGCUGAACUUAAGCAUAUCAAUAAGCGGAGGA